Molecule: transfer RNA, 87 nt
Filed under: Lathyrus tingitanus (Tangier pea)
Lineage: Eukaryota; Viridiplantae; Streptophyta; Magnoliopsida; Fabales; Fabaceae
Description: tRNA-Ser
Rfam family: tRNA
About the family: Transfer RNA (tRNA) molecules are approximately 80 nucleotides in length. Their secondary structure includes four short double-helical elements and three loops (D, anti-codon, and T loops).
Source: RNAcentral
GGAGAGAUGGCUGAGUGGAUUAAAGCGUCGGAUUGCUAAUCCGUUGUACGCAUUUUUGUACCGAGGGUUCGAAUCCCUCUCUUUCCG